Molecule: transfer RNA, 93 nt
Filed under: Sphaerobolus stellatus SS14
Lineage: Eukaryota; Fungi; Basidiomycota; Agaricomycetes; Geastrales; Sphaerobolaceae
Rfam family: tRNA
About the family: Transfer RNA (tRNA) molecules are approximately 80 nucleotides in length. Their secondary structure includes four short double-helical elements and three loops (D, anti-codon, and T loops).
Source: Rfam by way of RNAcentral
GGUGAGAUGGCCGAGUUGGUCUAAGGCGUGAGACUAGGGUUAGCCUGUAAUCUCAUCUCUUCGGGGGCGUGGGUUCAAAUCCCACUCCCAUCA